This 491-nucleotide ribosomal RNA is filed under the name uncultured bacterium. Its description in RNAcentral is "partial 16S ribosomal RNA". It matches the Rfam family "Bacterial small subunit ribosomal RNA", at positions 29 to 506 of the family's 1533-position model. The record is from RNAcentral.
AGUGAACGCUGGCGGUAGGCCUAACACAUGCAAGUCGAACGGCAGCACAGUAAGAGCUUGCUCUUACGGGUGGCGAGUGGCGGACGGGUGAGGAAUACAUCGGAAUCUACUUUUUCGUGGGGGAUAACGUAGGGAAACUUACGCUAAUACCGCAUACGACCUACGGGCGAAGGCAGGGGAUCUUCGGACCUUGCGCGAUUGAAUGAGCCGAUGUCGGAUUAGCUAGUUGGCGGGGUAAAGGCCCACCAAGGCGACGAUCCGUAGCUGGUCUGAGAGGAUGAUCAGCCACACUGGAACUGAGACACGGUCCAGACUCCUACGGGAGGCAGCAGUGGGGAAUAUUGGACAAUGGGCGCAAGCCUGAUCCAGCCAUACCGCGUGGGUGAAGAAGGCCUUCGGGUUGUAAAGCCCUUUUGUUGGGAAAGAAAAGCAGCAGGUUAAUACCCCGCUGUUCUGACGGUACCCAAAGAAUAAGCACCGGCUAACUUCGU